RNAcentral lists this ribosomal RNA (693 nucleotides) under uncultured bacterium. RNAcentral's name for it is "bacterial SSU rRNA". It matches the Rfam family "Bacterial small subunit ribosomal RNA", at positions 140 to 851 of the family's 1533-position model. The record is from RNAcentral.
GGGAUAACAGUUGGAAACGGCUGCUAAUACCGCAUAAGCGCACGGCAUCGCAUGAUGCAGUGUGAAAAACUCCGGUGGUAUAAGAUGGACCCGCGUUGGAUUAGCUAGUUGGUGAGGUAACGGCCCACCAAGGCGACGAUCCAUAGCCGACCUGAGAGGGUGACCGGCCACAUUGGGACUGAGACACGGCCCAAACUCCUACGGGAGGCAGCAGUGGGGAAUAUUGCACAAUGGGCGAAAGCCUGAUGCAGCGACGCCGCGUGAGCGAAGAAGUAUUUCGGUAUGUAAAGCUCUAUCAGCAGGGAAGAUAAUGACGGUACCUGACUAAGAAGCACCGGCUAAAUACGUGCCAGCAGCCGCGGUAAUACGUAUGGUGCAAGCGUUAUCCGGAUUUACUGGGUGUAAAGGGAGCGCAGGCGGUGCGGCAAGUCUGAUGUGAAAGCCCGGGGCUCAACCCCGGUACUGCAUUGGAAACUGUCGUACUAGAGUGUCGGAGGGGUAAGCGGAAUUCCUAGUGUAGCGGUGAAAUGCGUAGAUAUUAGGAGGAACACCAGUGGCGAAGGCGGCUUACUGGACGAUAACUGACGCUGAGGCUCGAAAGCGUGGGGAGCAAACAGGAUUAGAUACCCUGGUAGUCCACGCCGUAAACGAUGAAAACGAGGUGUUGGGAAGCAUUGCUUCUCGGUGCCGUCG